GGGGGAAUAUUGGACAAUGGGGGAAACCCUGAUCCAGCAAUGCCGCGUGAAUGACGAAGGCCUGAGGGUUGUAAAGUUCUUUCACCUGUGAAGAUAAUGACGGUAGCAGGAGAAGAAGCCCCGGCUAACUCCGUGCCAGCAGCCGCGGUAAGACGGAGGGGGCUAGCGUUGUUCGGAAUGACUGGGCGUAAAGGGCGCGUAGGCGGUUUUUUAAGUGAGGCGUGAAAGCCCUGGGCUUAACCCAGGAGGU
Molecule: ribosomal RNA, 250 nt
Filed under: uncultured bacterium
Lineage: Bacteria
Description: partial 16S ribosomal RNA
Rfam family: Bacterial small subunit ribosomal RNA
Source: RNAcentral